This is a long non-coding RNA of Nematostella vectensis (starlet sea anemone), 669 nucleotides long. RefSeq lists it as uncharacterized. The transcript is spliced from 2 exons. The record is from RefSeq and is a predicted model, not a curated record. NCBI's taxonomy places the organism in Eukaryota, Metazoa, Cnidaria, Anthozoa, Actiniaria, Edwardsiidae.
CAUGACUUGCAUUGGUCGCGCUGUUACUAGCGGUGUUAGCGCAGUUAGACCGUUCGCCAGAGAAGCCUGGCUCGUCUUUGGCGACAACUCGAGAAGCUACCAUCCUAAUGAAGAGAUUCAAGACCGUCUAUACAGUCUCGGCGAUACCAUACAAAAAACAUUGGAUAGAGAAAAAAUAGUAAAACAUGAGACAUCCGCGCAUGAGGAGUCCUUAGUUCUAAGAUAAUUCAAGUAAGACAAUGUUCGAGGAUCCAGGACUUUCUUUCUUCGGCCGCAAGACGUCCCGCAAAGAACGCUGGAUCUCCGAGCAUGAAGUAACCGAGUCCACGUGCAGAUGCUAUAACUAUGCAGAAAGGAUCUCUACAUACGUGUGUAUCACGCCGUGGUGUUUUUAGACGUGAUAUAGAAGAGGCCAGAGGGCUGCUCUAAAUAAAUGGAUUUUUGUUUGUACGUCUUUCCGCUGCUUUUAGGAGAUACACAAAUUUCCGUCUUCAGGAUUAUAGAAAAACACCACUACAUAACACAGCUUACACUGUCUGAGAUCUGCCAUAUCUGUUUAAUGACUUAUUUCAUUUACAAAACAGCGAUAAUCCUUUAAUAGCCAGAAAUGUGUUAAGUCGAUCAGACAUUCCAUUCAUAAAUAAAAAUAAACUCUAUUUUAAAAUUGCA